RNAcentral lists this long non-coding RNA (200 nucleotides) under Gossypium barbadense (sea-island cotton). RNAcentral's name for it is "long non-coding RNA (GBAR_LNC007095)". Lineage: Eukaryota; Viridiplantae; Streptophyta; Magnoliopsida; Malvales; Malvaceae. The record is from RNAcentral.
GCCACCCUAUAAACACAAGCAUUUACAAGCAUAUUUCACCACAUUUUUACAGCUCAAUAGGCAGCCAAAAUAAUCAUUUAGAUAUACAUUAUAAGCCAUAUCAAAUCUACCAAUUACAUAACCAAAUACCUAUUUAACAACAUGCAUAAUCCAUUCAUUUAACAUCAAUAUACCAAGCCUUCAUUUGCAUAAUUUCAUUC